GGGGGCGGCCCUCCUUGGGCGUUUCCUCCCUAAACCUGGGCCGGUCAUCCUUCGGGAUGGCUGGCCUUUUUUCGUUUGAGG
RNAcentral lists this small RNA (81 nucleotides) under Allobosea lathyri. RNAcentral describes it as "Bosea sp. LMG 26379 Makes More Granules Regulator RNA (mmgR)". It matches the Rfam family "Makes More Granules Regulator RNA (mmgR)". Rfam says of the family: SuhB later renamed mmgR (makes more granules regulator) was a putative non-coding RNA found multiple times in the Agrobacterium tumefaciens genome and related alpha-proteobacteria. Other non-coding RNAs uncovered in the same analysis include: speF, ybhL, metA, and serC. The record is from Rfam by way of RNAcentral. Lineage: Bacteria; Pseudomonadati; Pseudomonadota; Alphaproteobacteria; Hyphomicrobiales; Alloboseaceae.